RNAcentral lists this ribosomal RNA (666 nucleotides) under Triticum aestivum (bread wheat). RNAcentral's name for it is "partial small subunit ribosomal RNA". Lineage: Eukaryota; Viridiplantae; Streptophyta; Magnoliopsida; Poales; Poaceae. The record is from RNAcentral.
AUGGCCGUGGCAGGAGCAGCCUGCGCCUCCCGGCCGCCGCGCUCGCCGCGCUGGCGAGGGCCCGCGUCGCCGCGCGCCGCGGCGGGGGCGGUGGAGAUACGGGUCUGCACGAACCACACGUGCGCGCGGCAGGGCGGGCGCGAGGUGCUCGUGGCGCUCGAGGGGCUCUCGCAGCCCCCGCCGCGCGUCGACGUGGCGUCCUGCGGGUGCCUGGGCCCCUGCGGCGCCGGGCCCAACGUCGGCGCCUCCAUCCCGGGCCGCGGUAACGCCGUGUUCGGCCAUGUGAGCACCUCCUCGGCGCCGCCGAGUUCGACGCCGCAGCGGGGCUCGCCGCGUGCGGGAUCGGCUACCGGCGGCGACCACCGCGCUGGGCGACACGGAGCGAGAUGCAGCGGUACACGGGAGACGUGUAAGGUGAGAAUAGGGAUUGGGGGUACCGCCGGCGCGCUCGCGGAUGCCGAGGAGGCGAUAAGGAUAGCUCCCAGUUUUCCUCAUUCUCACUUGUUGCGAGGGGACGCACUAUUCGCUCCGGGAGACUACCACUCCGCAGAGGAUGCUUUUGCACGCGCCUUGGAUCUUGACCCAUCUAUUCGUCGGUCCAAGUCUUUCAAGGCCCGCUUGGAAAAGCUACGGGAGAAGCUUGUAAGUGUCAGCAGUUCAUCAUAG